AACUAUAAUGUACUAAUAUAUAGCUUUUUCUGCUCAAUGAAAUUUUAAAUAGCCGCAGUACCCUGACUGUGCAAAGGUAGCAUAAUCAGUUGGCUUAUAAUUGAAGUCUAGAAUGAACGAAAUAACGGGUAGUAGCUGUCUCAUAAAUAAUAUUACAAAUUUAGUAAGUAAGUGCAAAAACUUACAACAUUAUAUUAGACGAGAAGACCCUAGAAAUUUUUAUAUAAGUUUUUGUUGGGGCGACAGAGUUAUAGAAAACUAACUUUAUAUAACAUGUAGUAUUAAAGAAAGAUUAAAUUACUCUAGGGAUAACAGCAUAAUUUAAAAUAGUUUGUGACCUCGAUGUUGGACUAGGUAAAGUGUUUUUUAGAAGAAAACUUUAAAUGCUCUGUUCGAGCAAUAAUACCUACA
RNAcentral lists this ribosomal RNA (411 nucleotides) under Marmorana signata. RNAcentral's name for it is "partial 16S ribosomal RNA". It matches the Rfam family "Archaeal large subunit ribosomal RNA", at positions 1921 to 2669 of the family's 2987-position model. Lineage: Eukaryota; Metazoa; Mollusca; Gastropoda; Stylommatophora; Helicidae. The record is from RNAcentral.